Molecule: ribosomal RNA, 382 nt
Filed under: uncultured bacterium
Lineage: Bacteria
Description: bacterial SSU rRNA
Rfam family: Bacterial small subunit ribosomal RNA
Source: RNAcentral
UCUUGCGCAAUGGGCGAAAGCCUGACGCAGCGACGCCGCGUGGGUGAAGAAGGCCUUCGGCCCUGUAAAGCCCUUUUAGCAGGGAAGAAUAAAAUGACGGUACCUGCAGAAAAAGCACCGGCUAACUCUGUGCCAGCAGCCGCGGUAAUACAGAGGGUGCAAGCGUUAUUCGGAAUUACUGGGCGUAAAGGGCGUGUAGGCGGUUUGCUAAGUCCGAUGUGAAAUCCCUGGGCUCAAACCAGGAAGUGCAUUGGAAACUAGCAGACUAGAGUACGGGAGAGGAGAGCGGAAUUCCUGGUGUAGAGGUGAAAUUCGUAGAUAUCAGGAGGAACAACAGAGGCGAAGGCGGCUCUUUGACCGUAACUGACGCUGAGGCGCGAAA